GGAGGAUGCGAGCGUUAUCCGGAUUUAUUGGGUUUAAAGGGUGCGUAGGCGGACAAAUAAGUCAGUGGUGAAACCCUGCAGCUUAACUGUAGAUGUGCCGUUGAUACUGUUAGUCUUGAGUAUGGUCAAGGUAGGCGGAAUGUGUAAUGUAGCGGUGAAAUGCUUAGAUAUUACACAGAACACCGAUUGCGAAGGCAGCUUGCUGGGCCAAUACUGACGCUGAUGCACGAAAGCGUGGGGAUCGAACAGGAUUAGAUACCCUGGUAGUCCACGCCGUAAACGAUGAUCACUCGCUGUUGGCGAUACACAGUCAGCGGCUAAGCAAAAGCAUUAAGUGAUCCACCUGGGGAGUACGGCCGCAAGGCUGAAACUCAAAGGAAUUGACGGGGGCCCGCACAAGCGGAGGAACAUGUGGUUUAAUUCGAUGAUACGCGAGGAACCUUACCUGGGCUUAAAUGUAGAGUGCAUGAGAUGGAAACAUUUCUUUUCUUCGGAACUCUUUGCAAGGUGCUGCAUGGUUGUCGUCAGCUCGUGCCGUGAGGUGUCGGGUUAAGUCCCAUAACGAGCGCAACCCUUAUCGUUAGUUGCCAGCGGGUAAUGCCGGGAACUCUAGCGAAACUGCCGGUGUAAACCGAGAGGAAGGUGAGGAUGACGUCAAAUCAGCACGGCCCUUAUGUCCAGGGCUACACACGUGUUACAAUGGCCGGUACAGAGGGCAGCUACCUGGAGACAGGAUGCGAAUCUCGAAAGCCGGUCUCAGUUCGGACCGGAGUCUGCAACUCGACUCCAUGAAGCUGGAUUCGCUAGUAAUCGCGCAUCAGCCAUGGCGCGGUGAAUACGUUCCCGGGCCUU
This 852-nucleotide ribosomal RNA is filed under the name uncultured Cytophaga sp. RNAcentral describes it as "bacterial SSU rRNA". It matches the Rfam family "Bacterial small subunit ribosomal RNA", at positions 527 to 1382 of the family's 1533-position model. The record is from RNAcentral. Lineage: Bacteria; Pseudomonadati; Bacteroidota; Cytophagia; Cytophagales; Cytophagaceae.